CUUAUAAAAACCCAAACCCUACUCUCAAAUCACUCAGCCUCCCUCAUUCUCUCUCUCCUCUCCUCUCCUCUCCUCUCUCUCCUGAUCUCAUCUCAUCUCCUCUCCUCUCCACAUCUCAUCUCCUCUUUCCUGCUCUCUCAUCUCACCACAACCGCCGCCGUCGUCCCUCUUCUUAUCUUUCUUGCUCUCUCGUCUCACCACCACCGCCGCCGUCGACUUCUUUCCCCUCUAAAUCUCUCCGACCUCCCUCUCUCCCUCUUCUCUCCCCUCUAUCCCUCUUUUUCCCCUCUCGAUCUCUCCGACCUCCCUCUGUCUUCUGCCCACCACCACUAACGCCACUAACCACCGCCGCCACCAAGUCCGAAAUCAACCACAACUUGUAAAAUUCGAGGUUAUUUUCAGGUAAAAUUCGAGGUAUAAUGAUUUAUAUCUUAAAUUGAAGAAUCAAGAUUCAGGAAUAUUGAUAUAGAUGUUGUAUGGGUUUUUUUUAAUUUUAAUGUUGUAACUUUUAUUUUUUGAUUUAUAUUGUAAAUUUUUUUAUUUGUAUGUUGUAAUUGUUAGAUUAUAUUGAUUUAUAUUGUAAUUUUGAUGUCUGUAAUUGUGAUCUACAUCGAGCAAUUAGUAGAUUAGAAAACUGUUCAGUAAUAAAAUUAUGAUGUUGCGUUUCC
Long non-coding RNA from Chenopodium quinoa (quinoa), 668 nucleotides. RefSeq lists it as uncharacterized. The record is from RefSeq and is a predicted model, not a curated record. Lineage: Eukaryota; Viridiplantae; Streptophyta; Magnoliopsida; Caryophyllales; Amaranthaceae. The transcript has 2 exons.